AUUUGAGAGCCCAUAGUCCUUUUUUAAAAUAAAAUUUCUUAAGUCAUAUUUUCUUAAAUCAUAUUAUCUCAAAUCAUACAUGAAUAAACCGCUAAGAGACUAUAUAGAGUUUAUAGUUUAUAAUUAAACAUUUAACAAUAGAGUAAUCAUGAAAUUAUUCUUUUUAUGAUAAAAUACAAAUUUCAUAAAUAUGGAGUUCAUAGUUUAUAAAUAGUGCCUAACGGUAAAAUAAUCAUGGAACCAUUAUUUCGCAAUAAAUCAUAAGCUUCAUAUUAUCGUAUGCUCAAUCCUUCAUUUGAAGAAAACAUGAUAUCUUUGUUGGGAAUUGUGUCCCAAAGCCAAUUUUUAAUUGUAAGAAAUUGGAUUAUGUAUAUAUAUUUUAUUAAAAUAAAUAAAAAUUUAUUCUGGUAAUUUUCUAUUCAUCACAAGUGUUGCAUCUUCAAAUUGAACUCCUGUGUAUUGUGAUGAAGUCCUUAGGACUAAUUUAGUGGAUAAAAGAGGUUUUAUCAUUUAGUCCUUAAACCAGUUCGCGACCAAAUGACAAGCUGUCAAUUGGACGAUAGCUAUGUCAAGUAUAGGUCGUUGUGUGCUAUUUAGUUGGUUGUCCUCUUAAACCAAGGAGUGUGGAGACACUGUAUG
This 639-nucleotide long non-coding RNA is filed under the name Phoenix dactylifera (date palm). RNAcentral describes it as "long non-coding RNA (PDAC_LNC019710)". The record is from RNAcentral. Lineage: Eukaryota; Viridiplantae; Streptophyta; Magnoliopsida; Arecales; Arecaceae.